RNAcentral lists this ribosomal RNA (493 nucleotides) under uncultured bacterium. Its description in RNAcentral is "bacterial SSU rRNA". It matches the Rfam family "Bacterial small subunit ribosomal RNA", at positions 903 to 1397 of the family's 1533-position model. The record is from RNAcentral.
AAAGGAAUAGACGGGAGCCCGCACAAGCAGUGGAGUAUGUGGUUUAAUUCGACGCAACGCGAAAAACCUUACCAAGGAUUGACAUCCUAGGAACCCGGCGUAAUGGCUGGGGUGCCCCUUCGGGGGAAUCUAGAGACAGGUGGUGCAUGGUUGUCGUCAGCUCGUGUCGUGAGAUGUUGGGUUAAGUCCCGCAACGAGCGCAACCCUUACUGUUAGUUGCUACGCAAGAGCACUCUGGCAGGACUGCCGUUGACAAAACGGAGGAAGGUGGGGACGACGUCAAAUCAUCAUGCCCCUUAUAUCUUGGGCUACACACGUACUACAAUGGCGUGGAACAAAGGGCAGCGACCCCGCGAGGGUGAGCGAAUCCCAGAAAACACGUCCCAGUUCGGACUGGAGGCUGCAACUCGCCUCCACGAAGUUGGAAUUGCUAGUAAUCGCGAAUCAGCAUGUCGCGGUGAAUACGUUCCCGGGCUUUGUACACACCGCCCGU